This is a long non-coding RNA of Gallus gallus (chicken), 332 nucleotides long. Lineage: Eukaryota; Metazoa; Chordata; Aves; Galliformes; Phasianidae. The record is from Ensembl.
GUCAAGACAUUUUGGAAUAAAUUUUUAAUUAAUUCUCAGAUGAACAUGAGAACAUUGUACCUACAGAAGGGUUGCCCCAGGAGCCAGCUAGCAGCAUGGGGGUGGAAGCUCCACAUGUUAAACACAGUCUGCAGCUAUGUUGCUCCCAGACCCUUUGACGCUGCUGCUGGGUGACAGAGAAACAAGCCUUCAUCAGAUGACAAGUAGUCUGCAGGCUGUAGAACUAGUGAAGGGAAACUCCCCUACAAAAAUCAAGCCAGAUCUUUGUGGACAAGAAGCACCGCAUGCACAUCUGCUGAAGUGCACGGCUCCAUCUGUUAGCAGUCCUGGCA